AUCCAAGCUUCGCCUCAAAAUAUUCGGAUUAGACACAAUAAGCUCAUGAAGGACCGGACCCACUAAGCCAUUGUCAUGGAGAUACUCUAUUUUAAGCUUGAGCUUAUCUACUUGGGAUUGGAGGAUCAGGGGAUACCUUGACACAAGUUUUGCAAUAUGGGUAUCGGAGAAUCCAAGAGGAUUGAGUAAUUCGAGCAUAGACUCAUGUUUUUGCUAUUUGUUUUCAUCAAGGUUGAGCUUCUGAGAGAUGGAAAUGGCAGAGUCCGAGGGAAGCCCACAAGAUUUCACAAGAAAUUGGGCUGUGUACGAUGGUGAUAAUAAUGUUGAAGAUGCAGAAGACAACGAAGAUAUAUACAGGGUUGGAGAUGUUGUGAGGAAACGUUUUUGCAUCAAACAAAGCAAAUUCUUCAAAGGAAGCUUAGCCAUUUCGACAGAGAUUGAUUCAAAAAAAGAAAGAUCUUACAAGAGAAAUUACCUGGAUUUGGCAUAUAGAGACCAAAGCACCUCAAAGCAAAACCCUAGACACCCUAGAAACCGCUGGGCAGAGACUCAUUAGUUGCAGAGCAGAGAAUCAAGAUGGAAUUGUAGGGGUUUAGGGUUUUUGACGUGAGGAAAGAGAACAACCAGAGGGUCACGUGAGGGGACUCUCUUCCACUCGCUCAUACUGACACUUUUCCCAUAGAAUGUAC
Molecule: long non-coding RNA, 689 nt
Filed under: Vitis vinifera (wine grape)
Lineage: Eukaryota; Viridiplantae; Streptophyta; Magnoliopsida; Vitales; Vitaceae
Description: long non-coding RNA (VVIN_LNC007901)
Source: RNAcentral